GGCGUAGCCAAGCGGUAAGGCAACGGACUUUGACUCCGUCAUUCGCUGGUUCGAGUCCAGCCGC
This 64-nucleotide transfer RNA is filed under the name human gut metagenome. It matches the Rfam family "tRNA", at positions 5 to 66 of the family's 71-position model. Rfam says of the family: Transfer RNA (tRNA) molecules are approximately 80 nucleotides in length. Their secondary structure includes four short double-helical elements and three loops (D, anti-codon, and T loops). The record is from RNAcentral. RNAcentral also lists the same sequence under 3 other names.